Molecule: small nuclear RNA, 162 nt
Organism: Cebus imitator (Panamanian white-faced capuchin)
Lineage: Eukaryota; Metazoa; Chordata; Mammalia; Primates; Cebidae
Gene: U1
Rfam family: U1 spliceosomal RNA
About the family: U1 is a small nuclear RNA (snRNA) component of the spliceosome (involved in pre-mRNA splicing). Its 5' end forms complementary base pairs with the 5' splice junction, thus defining the 5' donor site of an intron.
Source: Ensembl
AUACUUACCUGGCAGGUGAGAUACUGUGAUGAUGAAGGUGGUUUACCCAGAGUGGGGCUUAUCCAUUGCACUCUGAAUGUUCUGACCCCUGUUACUUCCUUAAUGUGGACAACCCUAUGGCAUAAUUUGUGGUAGUGAGGAACUUUGUUUACACUCUCCUUC